Molecule: ribosomal RNA, 2889 nt
Filed under: Dorea formicigenerans
Lineage: Bacteria; Bacillati; Bacillota; Clostridia; Lachnospirales; Lachnospiraceae
Description: 23S ribosomal RNA
Rfam family: Bacterial large subunit ribosomal RNA
Source: RNAcentral
UUGGUUAUGCUAAUAAGAGCGUAUGGUGGAUGCCUUGGCACUAAGAGCCGAUGAAAGACGUGAUAAGCUGCGAAAAGCUUCGGGGAGGAGCAAAUAUCCUAUGAUCCGGAGAUCUCUGAAUGGGGAAACCCACCUGAGCAAACCUCAGGUAUCCUAACGCCAAUACAUAACGUUAGGAGGGGAACCCGGUGAACUGAAACAUCUAAGUAGCCGGAGGAAGAGAAAACAACAUGUGAUUCUGGAAGUAGCGGCGAGCGAAACCGGAAGAGCCCAAACCGGAGUGCGUGCACUCCGGGGUUCGGACCGCGGAAUUGAUCCAAAAGACUUAACAGAACGGCCUGGGAAGGCCGGCCAGAGAGGGUGAAAGCCCCGUAAGUGAAAGGUCGAUUGGCAUGGCGGUAUCCAGAGUAGGUCGAGACACGUGGAACCUUGACUGAAUAUGCGGGGACCACCCCGUAAGGCUAAAUACUCCUUAGUGACCGAUAGCGCAUAGUACUGUGAAGGAAAGGUGAAAAGGACCCCGGGAGGGGAGUGAAAAAGAACCUGAAACCAUAUGUUUACAAGCUGUGGAACCACUUUAAAUGUGGAACCGCGUACUUUUUGUAGAACGGUCCGGCGAGUUACGCUGGCUGGCGAGGUUAAGUCCUUAAGGGAUGGAGCCGAAGGGAAACCAAGUCUGAAUAGGGCGAAGAGUCAGUCGGAGUAGACCCGAAACCGGGUGACCUAUCCAUGUCCAGGAUGAAGUUGCCGUAAAAGGCAAUGGAGGUCCGAACCCACAUCCGUUGAAAAGGGUGGGGAUGAGGUGUGGAUAGGGGAGAAAUUCCAAUCGAACCCGGAGAUAGCUGGUUCUCCUCGAAAUAGCUUUAGGGCUAGCCUCAUACAAGUCUUGCGGAGGUAGAGCACUGAAUUUCCUAGGGGGCGUCAAAGCUUACCGAAGAAUAUCAAACUCCGAAUGCCGCGUAGAUGGUGUAUGGGAGUCAGACUGCACGAGAUAAGUUGGGUAGUCAAAAGGGAAAGAGCCCAGACCUGCAGCUAAGGUCCCAAAAUGUGUGUUAAGUGGAAAAGGAUGUGGGAUUUCGAAGACAACUAGGAUGUUGGCUCAGAAGCAGCCAUACAUUCAAAGAGUGCGUAAUAGCUCACUAGUCGAGAGGUCCUGCGCCGAAAAUGUCCGGGGCUGAAACACACUACCGAAGCUCAGGAAUGUACUUGUACAUUGGUAGAGGAGCAUUGUAUACGGGAAGAAGCAGUACCGAUAAGGAGCUGUGGACUGUAUAGAAGAGAGAAUGCCGGAAUGAGUAGCGAGAGGAAGGUGAGAAUCCUUCCGGCCGAAUAUCUAAGGUUUCCAGAGUAAAGCUGAUCUGCUCUGGGUAAGUCGGGGCCUAAGGCCAGGUCGAAAGACGUAACCGAUGGACAACAGGUUGAAAUUCCUGUACCGCGAUAUAACAGAACUGUGGGGACACGUGUGGAGAGCACAAGCCGGGAAUGGAAAGCCCGGCGCAAGCAAGGUAGGAGUCGUACUGGCAAAUCCGUACGGCAAUCCGAAGAUGUGAUGCGUACCGAAAUAAGAGUAGGGAAGAGUGUGAGCCAUGCGUCAAGAAAAGCCGCUAUUGUUUGUAUCGCGCCCGUACCGUAAACCGACACAGGUGGAUGAGGAGAGAAUCCUAAGGCCGACGGGAGAAGCAUUGUUAAGGAACUCGGCAAAAUGACUCCGUAACUUCGGGAGAAGGAGUGCCACUGAGAGGUGGCCGCAGAGAAUUGGCCCAAGCAACUGUUUAGCAAAAACACAGGUCUAUGCAAAACCGAAAGGUGAAGUAUAUGCUGACGCCUGCCCGGUGCUGGAAGGUUAAGGGGAGAGGUUAGCGCAAGCGAAGCUUUGAACUUAAGCCCCAGUAAACGGCGGCCGUAACUAUAACGGUCCUAAGGUAGCGAAAUUCCUUGUCGGGUAAGUUCCGACCCGCACGAAAGGCGUAAUGAUUUGGGCACUGUCUCAACAAUGCACCCGGUGAAAUUGAAAUACCAGUGAAGAUGCUGGUUACCUGCGCCAGGACGGAAAGACCCCAUGGAGCUUUACUCCAGCUUGAUACUGGGAUUCGGUAUUGCAUGUACAGGAUAGGUGGGAGGCUUUGAAGCGGUGACGCCAGUUGCCGUGGAGCUGCUGUUGGGAUACCACCCUUGCAGUACUGGGUUUCUAACCAGCGGCCUUAAUCAGGUCGGGGGACAAUGUCAGGUGGGGAGUUUGACUGGGGCGGUCGCUCCGAAAGGGUAUCGGAGGCGCUCAAAGGUUCCCUCAGAAUGGUCGGAAACCAUUCGAAGAGUGCAAAGGCAGAAGGGAGCUUGACUGCGACACCGACGGGUGGAGCAGGUACGAAAGUAGGACUUAGUGAUCCGGUGGUAUAAAGUGGGAUUGCCAUCGCUCAACGGAUAAAAGCUACCCUGGGGAUAACAGGCUUAUCACUCCCAAGAGUUCACAUCGACGGAGUGGUUUGGCACCUCGAUGUCGGCUCAUCGCAUCCUGGGGCUGAAGUAGGUCCCAAGGGUUGGGCUGUUCGCCCAUUAAAGCGGUACGCGAGCUGGGUUCAGAACGUCGUGAGACAGUUCGGUCCCUAUCCGGCGUGGGCGUAGGAUAUUUGAGAGGAGCUGUCCUUAGUACGAGAGGACCGGGAUGGACUGGCCGCUGGUUGAUCUGUUGUUCCGCCAGGAGCAUAGCAGAGUAGCCAAGCCGGGACGGGAUAAACGCUGAAGGCAUCUAAGCGUGAAGCCCCCCUCAAGAUGAGAUAUCCCAACGAAAGUUGUAAGACCCCUUGAAGACGACGAGGUAGAUAGGACAGAGGUGGAAGUGUGGUAACACAUGGAGCUGACUGUUACUAAUAGGUCGAGGGCAUAACCAAG